CAGUAGCCGCGGGAAUACGUAGGUGGCAAGCGUUGUCCGGAAUUAUUGGGCGUAAAGGGCUCGCAGGCGGUCUCUUAAGUCUGAUGUGAAAGCCCCCGGCUCAACCGGGGAGGGUCAUUGGAAACUGGGGAACUUGAGUGCAGAAGAGGAGAGUGGAAUUCCACGUGUAGCGGUGAAAUGCGUAGAGAUGUGGAGGAACACCAGUGGCGAAGGCGACUUUCUGGUCUGUAACCGACGCUGAGGAGCGAAAGCGUGGGGAGCGAACAGGAUUAGAUACCCGUGUAGUCCCUGUCUCUUAUAC
This 301-nucleotide ribosomal RNA is filed under the name uncultured bacterium. RNAcentral describes it as "partial 16S ribosomal RNA". It matches the Rfam family "Bacterial small subunit ribosomal RNA", at positions 509 to 807 of the family's 1533-position model. The record is from RNAcentral.